CUUGAACCCCUAUAAGAGGUCCAGCCUGCCCAGUGACUUUGUUCAACGGCCGCGGUAUCCUAACCGUGCGAAGGUAGCGUAAUCACUUGUCUUUUAAAUGAGGACUUGUAUGAAUGGCAUCACGAGGGUUAUACUGUCUCCUUUCUCUAAUCAGUGAAACUAAUCUUCCCGUGAAGAAGCGGGAAUAAAUAUAUAAGACGAGAAGACCCUAUGGAGCUUUAAACUCAAUAACAAAUACUAACCUCACUUUAACUUCCAGAACAUUCACACUAAUCCUAGUAUUAUGAUUAUUAGUUUUAGGUUGGGGUGACCGCGGAGUAAAAAUUAACCUCCACAUUGAACAGGACCUUUCCCUGAGCUAAGAACUACAACUCUAAGCACCAACAAAUUGACAUUAAUUGACCCAAUACUUUGAUCAACGAAC
This 424-nucleotide ribosomal RNA is filed under the name Osteocephalus cabrerai group sp. ABGD cluster 2. Its description in RNAcentral is "partial large subunit ribosomal RNA". It matches the Rfam family "Bacterial large subunit ribosomal RNA", at positions 1834 to 2439 of the family's 2925-position model. The record is from RNAcentral. Lineage: Eukaryota; Metazoa; Chordata; Amphibia; Anura; Hylidae.